Molecule: ribosomal RNA, 907 nt
Filed under: Verticillium longisporum
Lineage: Eukaryota; Fungi; Ascomycota; Sordariomycetes; Glomerellales; Plectosphaerellaceae
Description: LSU rRNA
Rfam family: Eukaryotic large subunit ribosomal RNA
Source: RNAcentral
CUAAGCAUAUCAAUAAGCGGAGGAAAAGAAACCAACAGGGAUUGCCUUAGUAACGGCGAGUGAAGCGGCAACAGCUCAAAUUUGAAAUCUGGCUCCUUCGGGGUCCGAGUUGUAAUUUGCAGAGGAUGCUUCGAGUUAUGGUUCCUUCCGAGUUCCCUGGAACGGGACGCCAUAGAGGGUGAGAGCCCCGUCUGGUAGGAAACCAUGCUCAUGUGAAGCUCCCUCGACGAGUCGAGUAGUUUGGGAAUGCUGCUCUAAGGGGAGGUAUACUCCUUCCAAGGCUAAAUACCGGCUAGAGACCGAUAGCGCACAAGUAGAGUGAUCGAAAGAUGAAAAGUACUUUGAAAAGAGAGUCAAACAGCACGUGAAAUUGUUAAAAGGGAAGCGCUCGCUACCAGACGUGGGUUCGGUGGUUCAACCAGGUCCAUGACCUGGGGCACUCCGCCGGCCCAGGCCAGCAUCAGCUUUCCGUCGGGGGCAAAGGCGUCGGGAAUGUGGCUCUCCUUCGGGGGAGUGUUAUAGCCCGUCGCGUCAUACUCUUCGGGGGGCUGAGGUACGCGCUCCGCAAGGAUGCUGGCGUAAUGGUAGCUAGUGACCCGUCUUGAAACACGGACCAAGGAGUCAACCUUAUGUGCGAGUGCCCGGGCGUAAAACCCCAGCGCGGAAUGAAAGUGAACGUAGGUGAGAGCUUCGGCGCAUCACCGACCGAUCCUGAUGUCCUCGGACGGAUUUGAGUGAGAGCAUAUAGGGUUGGACCCGAAAGAAGAUGAACUAUGCGUGUGUAGGGUGAAGCCAGAGGAAACUCUGGUGGAGGCUCGCAGCGGUUCUGACGUGCAAAUCGAUCGUCAAACAUGCGCAUGGGGGCGAAAGACUAAUCGAAUCUUCUGGUAGCUGGUUUCCGCCGAAG